Bombus pascuorum is the source of this 1355-nucleotide RNA transcript. It is a transcript of the gene named mesencephalic astrocyte-derived neurotrophic factor homolog, with no coding region annotated. The transcript is spliced from 8 exons. The record is from RefSeq and is a predicted model, not a curated record. Lineage: Eukaryota; Metazoa; Arthropoda; Insecta; Hymenoptera; Apidae.
UAUAAAGUAUAAAGUGAAGCGUGGAUGAAACUUGUGUAGUUGUAUUAAAAGUUUUGUUGCAAUAGCAAGUGAAUGAAUUAAAAGUUAUAGAGUGUUUGUAUUGCAACUUAGUAAGGAUAUUUUCCACGUAAUACACGAAUUACUUUAUCGGCACAACAAUAUAAAAUACAUUCAAAAUGAAUAGUUCAGUAUUAUUAACUUCCUUUAUUAUUCUUGGAUUGGUAUAUACUGUCACAGCUUUGAAAAGUGAUGAAUGUGAAGUAUGUAUAAAUAUUGUGGAAAGGUUUGUGAAUACUUUAAGUGAAGAUGUGAAAAAAGAUACAAAAAAGAUCGAAGCAGCAUUUAAAGACUUUUGUAAAGGUACUAAAUCUAAGGAAAACAGAUUUUGUUAUUAUUUAGGUGGUCUGGAAGAAUCUGCCACAGGUAUUUUAAGUGAAUUAAGUAAACCUAUAUCUUGGUCUAUGCCUGCAAAUAAAGUAUGUGAAAAAUUAAAGAAGAAGGAUUCUCAAAUAUGUGAUUUGAGAUAUGAGAAACAAAUUGAUAUUGAUACUGUUGAUUUAAAAAAGCUUAAAGUACGUGAUUUGAGGAAAAUCUUGAGUGACUGGGAUGAAACAUGUGAUGGUUGCAUAGAGAAAACAGAUUUUAUUAAGCGAAUUGAAGAACUGAAAUCCAAAUAUUCUCGUACUGCAAACUCAGAACUCUGAAAAGUGUUCAACACUGUAGAUAAAUUAUUAUGACACACAUAUGUCAAUUGAUCCUGAUACAAAUAAGAACGACCACGAAUUGUUGCACCAAAUGGAAGUUUUGGUUUAUUACACGAAAGUCCUAUAAAUGUUAAUUAAUCAAGAAAGGAUGAUACAAUAUUAUAUAUUAUGUAAUAUUGAACUUACUUGAACAUCUACUAUAUAUUCUGGACCAUUUCCCAUUUGCAAGACAUCUUACAUUUCCUUGACCAAGCAUUUGGUAUCCAGAAUAUUAGAUAGUAUUGUCUUUUUAACGUUUGGUACCUUGAAUGGAACUUCCUUUCGACAAGUAGAUGCCAUUGUCUCUUAAAAGGCCGUCGAUAAAAAUAUUCCAAGAGCCAUUCUCCGAUUCCCAGGUGAAACAAACGAAAUGCCAAUGACCAUCGUUUACUUUAAUAUCGGUUAUUACUUUCUCGCCAUUGAGAUAUAUUACCAGCCUACGAAAUCAAGAUAGUAAUAUUUCAUGUGAUUUAUCCACAUUGUCAGUCACGUUCGGUAUUGUCCAGCUUACACUGGCAUAUUUCUUCCCUGGAAGGCUCUCAGUGAUAAUGUCAGGUGGACAGAUUAUCGAAGGUGGUGUUUUAUCUUUGAAAAAAAAAAGAAGAAACAAAA